Molecule: non-coding RNA, 4693 nt
Organism: Meleagris gallopavo (turkey)
Lineage: Eukaryota; Metazoa; Chordata; Aves; Galliformes; Phasianidae
Source: RefSeq, a predicted model, not a curated record
UAUAAAUUUUGUCAUACAGAUUACAUUUUCCUCAGCUUUAGUAAUGAAAAUAAAUGUUUGCUUUUGUUUACAGCCAAUUUCUCUUACAGAUUCAGAAUCAGACUAUAUUAAUUCUAAAUUCAUGGCUGGAAUUGAGGACAAGGAAGGCAAAAUGAAAUACGUUUUUUUUCUUCUAAUUCGUAGAAAUGUUUCUACUCCUUUUCUGUCUUUGAAAAUCUUGUGCCAGUCUGCGCUGUUGUGAAAGACCUGUGAAUACAUAUUCAUAGGGAUGAAAUUCAGAGGUGAUGGGCAACACAGACUAAGGAAAAGGAGCCCAGAGAGUCUGUAUUAAGCACACAACUGAGCUCAAUAUGAGUGUAAGCAUGUCCAGCCUCUGGAACAGCCAGGAGAAAAACUUUCAUGCCCCACAGGUGGGAGCUCACCCACAGACCUUCUUCUCUACAUACAGCAGCAAUGGGCCAGGCAACUUCAGUGGGCUUAUAUGUAUGCACAUGCUUAGCUUCCUGUAAAACCCAAACAUUAAGAAGACAGAUCUACAGCUGAUCCAUUUGAGGCAUGCAUGUAUUGGUUUGUAUUGCACUUACUGAGUAAACUUGAAAUGCAGAGGAGCCCAAAUCUCUAUUCUGGACGGUUUGAGGUUGUUUGGAUCUGACAUUUCUGUGUGUUCACUGACAGAAAUAAGCUAAUUAUGAAGCUGUGUUGGAAGGUGGAUGCCCUUUUUCCAAGUUUUGAGAAGUGUCUAGGCAGAGUAAUUGGAGUGUCCUAUCCCAACUGCAUUAGAUAGAUUUAGUGAAUGUGAAAAAUCUUCAUUAGUAAGGAAGAAAUGUGUUUUUAAGUGCUAAGAUAAUUCCACAUAACAUUACAGUUUGCAUCUACACCCACAGUACACAGAGAUUCAUGCAAAUGUCCAAAAAUUGAAAAAGCUUUAAAUGUAUUUUAUCUAAUUGUUCGUUGAACAGUAUUUAACUUUUGCUUUUCACAGGUUGUUUUGAAAUCUGAAUGUGUAAUAACUCUGAAUAUUUUAAUUUAAGCUAAUGUGCUAUUCCUUUAUGUAAAAAGUAAAGGAAUUUUGAAACUCUUUGCUGAAUACUCUGAGAUUGUCUAUACUCUGUGGCUAGCACUGAGCUGAAUGCCUAGCAUCCGUGCAUAGAAGAGGGAACAACUGCUGCCCCUCCGAUCCAGCUAUUCUUGUAUCUGGAAACAUUGUCAGGUGCUACAAGCAUCACGCCAUCCGAAAGGCCAAAGUUGAGUACUACGUUAUUGGAGUAGAUGACACCUUAUUCUUAUUCUUCAACAAUUCUAACAACUUAGAGUCCCUCGUUGUCCCUUUAUGAACACAGAUGUCAUUGUGAGGGGGGGGACAGCCAAAAUGACAAGAAGGUGACCUGUCAGUGAACUCAGGAGCAGGUGAGGCCUGUCAGCUUCUAAUUUGAAACUGGUGUCAGUCCUGAGGAAUGGCUGGUAUAAUCACAUUUGUAACUGAUAUCCUAUAAACGCUGCAAACAUUCACAGUGCGCCUGUUAUGAGUAAUAUGAAAUUAACAAUUCGUGUUUAUGACACAAGACACCAACUGAAUCAAGUAGGUCUCCGUAACUAGAUCAGCUCCGUCUGUCUUCUAGAGCAGCGCAUUGAACUGCUUCAGCCAAGCCAAAUUACUGUGUGCUUAUGUUACAAUAGGCAUUGUAUUUAUUUUGAAGACAAACUUUUGUAACUAGGUGUAAAGCGAGGAUCUCAGAACUAGCUUCUAGCUCAAGUAAUUACAUAUAAAACUUCUUUUGCUCGAGCCCAGCCAUUAAGAUGUUCAUGACUUUUAAGUUAGAGUUUGGGACCUAACAAAUCACAUGUUGUAUCUCACAUUUUCUGAAUAACUGAAGGGAAGGCUCUGUGUAAAUCUUCUCUCUCAGACACAUAAAUUACCAGCUGCAUGAAUACUGCCAUUAAGACAUGCAGACAAGUGCAAGGGGUGGGGACAGGGCAGGAUGCCCAAAAGAGGUGGAGUUACAGAGAAAACAAGGCAUUUGCUCACUGAGUAAUUUAUGCCUAAUCUGCCUUCACUGUAGCUGAGCAAGAAUGAAGACCAUGAGGCAGUGUGUCAGGCGCUCUCAUUUCACUACCAUCGAGGCAUUUUUCUGCAAAUUAGGUGUUUUCUUCCUAUUUCUAAUCAUUUCCACCUGAAUUUUUUUAUUAGGAAAAAUCAAAAUCAUAGUAUGUGAAGCAAAGAUUUGAAUUGAAGUUGCAUUCCAGGAUAAACUGAAACUCAAGUGCAUUUCUCAUUUGAAGACAGCAAGAUCUCAAAAUCCUUUGCAUAAUUAUUUCCAAUGCAAACUGACAGAAGCCCUAAAGUUCAGUUCCUUUCCUGAUUGCAUUGCUGCUGAGCUUGGUGCAUAGAUUAGAAGGUCCUUUCCAAUGAAAUGCAAAAGAAGAACCAGACAAAGAAUCUGCAAUUAUUACACUGGGAUUUAGUUAGCAGAGCUGAAAAAAUGCGAGUCCAAAUUCCAACUAGCUAGUGGAGCUUUCUGAGCAGUUUUGUACACCUUCAUAUAGGCAAUCCAGGGGAGCUAACAGCCUGCUGUAGCACUCUUUAGUGGUAGGUAAAUAACACUCAUUUCCAUUUUCUACAGAAGAACUGCACCCCACAGAGCUUCAGCAAUGUAACCAAGGCCAGGUACAGCAUUACAGCUGUGGUUCAGACACUGACAUCUCUUGUCUUCUGACCCAGCACUGACACAUCACACUUCUAACGUUGCGUAGUUCAAGUUGCUGGCCAUGGAUACCACCUAAUCAGCAAAGUAAAAGUACGAUUUCAAAACCAACCUACAAAACUGCUACAACCAACCUACGAAACUCCAUCGUACCUAAGGCCUAGCUCUAAAUUUCACAAUCACACUCCACCACCCAAAAACUCUCCUGUGAGAAGCAUCCUUGACUUUCAGGAGUCAGGGCUGGAAGCUGCACCCCAUGCAGUUGAUGCAGUCAUCUCUCAAUAUGUAGAACUUCUCAUGUUACUCCAAUGGCACAGUACAGUUGUUUAGUGUUUGGAUAAAGUACUGUAUGGGAAUUGUUGAAUCAAGGCCUGAACCACUGGUUGAUCAGCUGAAGCAAGGACUGGGUCAGCUUUAGGAAUACAGAUGAAGGCAAUUCAGCUGUGUGACCUGAAAGAGCGGAACCUAGCUGCAUCUCUCUUAGACCCCAUUUAAGGGCUGACUAAGACUAGCAAAAGAUCUCUUUCCAGAGAUCCCUCCUCUGUGGAGCUUUUCAUUGCAAGGCUAAAUUUUUGGAUACAGGUGAGCAUUCCCUCCCUGUUUGUUCCUUUGCUAUCUCACUACGGUACUCUUUCCAACUGUACCUUGUUGACUGUACGAGUACAGAAAACUCUGGUAGCUAUUCAGAGCUUUUCUAGAACCUGGUAACGUAUGUUUUAGUUAUCCUCCUACUUACACACGUAUAAUUAUUAGAAUUCCCCGCAUGGUUUAGGAGGAGAGCUGGCCCUGUGUAACAAGGCCCAGCACAGCAACAGGUUUCUGCAGCACCAAGUCAGCUCCAGGGGCUGAUGGGCAGUGGCACCACCUCAUGUAACUCCCAGAGCUGGUGGGGCAGGCACAGUGCCUCGACUGGAUUGCUGCUGUAGCUUACCUGUAGGAGCCUUCUAAAUCACUGGUCAUAUAAAAUACUCCUCUGCCAAAUUGGUUAUGGUUUUGAUUAUUGGCUGUAAAUGUCCAUUAUCUUUUGAUUUCCUUGCUAAGUAAGUUUGUGUGUGUUUAUGUCUUCUAUGGCUUUCAUUAGAGUAACACUAAGAUCUGGCAUAAGAUCAGAACAGAGGAACUUAUGAUUAUUGAUUAAAAACUAAUCUUAGCUUCCCACAGACCUUCCUUGUAGCCCUUGUACUGCUGACAUUAAGGAGCAGCUGGCACCCCUCAGCUCAGCCCGUUACCUGCAAGGAUCCCCUGAACACAUUGCACUGGCCAUGGCAGUGCUGUAGAAAGGAGGCUGCAGUGGGCAAUUCCGAGCUCCUACUUCCAGUGCUGAGCCCACGUGAGGCUGCCAGAAAAUCAAAAGAAAAGAUGAAGAAGAAAAAAAAAGUCAACAAAAAACUAUUAUCUUUUCUCAAAAGCAGAAAGUGGAAGAAUGAGACUCUGGCCUUUGUGGUCAGAGAGGUCUGAUCUGAAGACUUUGAGAAAAUUCCCCAUACAUAGAAAGAAGCAGGAGAGCACAUCUGUUUUCAUGACAGAGUUCGGUAAUAUUUUGAGCACUGAGAUCUUGCACUUCCUCUUAUCUCACAGCACCACUUUCUGUUCAUACAAUUAAUAUUGGGGAAGUUACCAUUCCCACCAUCUUUCAUUUUCAAGAUAAACAAAAUCCUCCUUUCAGGGUAGUCUUGAAGAAAUGACUAAGGGGCAAACUUAAAAGCAGGCUUACCCCAGCGAAGAGAUGGGAAGAUGGGAAUAUUAAUGUAUGGCCCAAUUUUAAUUUUAUUCAUUUCUAGUACAUUGGGGUAGGCAGAAUUGGAGUAGGAAAAAAGGAAGCAUACGCUGAGACCAUGAACCAAUGACUGGGGGAACAGUCUGGUUCAAAUCCUUGCUCUGCUCAAUUCCAUUGCAGGUUUAGUGACGAGUUCAUAAAUAACAGCUCUUUGUUGACUGUAUGGCUCCCAUACACGAGUGCCCUAAUCACUGAAGAAUUUUUUUUCCUUUCU